CUUGCCCCUUGGGUUUGUAGGACAUUCUACACGGGUUUACAAAGGAACGACGUAGACAAAGCGACCUGGCAAGGUCCUUCGUAGACGGUAACAAUCCCGUAGUCGAAACUUCGUUCUCUCUUGAAUGUAGCCUGAGUACUUCGGAACACGUGAAAUUCGGUCGGAAUCUGGGAUGACCAUCUGCCAAGGCUAAAUACAUCCGUAGUGAUCGAUAGUGAACGAGUAGCGGGUUGGAAAGGUGACAAGCACCCCG
This 253-nucleotide ribosomal RNA is filed under the name Bacillus cereus. Its description in RNAcentral is "partial 23S ribosomal RNA". It matches the Rfam family "Bacterial large subunit ribosomal RNA", at positions 284 to 528 of the family's 2925-position model. Lineage: Bacteria; Bacillati; Bacillota; Bacilli; Caryophanales; Bacillaceae. The record is from RNAcentral.